UCAGCAAGUCAUCAAAUCGCCUAGCACACAUUCGGAAAUAAGAGAAAGUGGACCCCCUCGUCUAAACUCGCAUUUGCCGAAUGUACAGGCAAAACUCUCCAUUCUCCGUCCUACUCUGAUUUAGAGGGCGAACGUACCAUCUUCUUCGCCUUUUUUUCUUCUUUCGCAUAUCUAGAUAAACUAAAGGCACUUUAAACUGUUUGUUUUGUGUUGUGAUCUCGCGUAGCCCUUCUCUUUGUACAUCCAUGGCGUAGCCACAAGACGGAGGUCUGGUUGAGAUUCCAGCCCCGGUUAAUAGCUGCCUCGUAAUUAUUCACGCCCCAGAGGCGUGGAGUGACUUUAAACGGUGCGGUGUUCUCACUGAGUAUACCGACAACAGUGUUCGUGGACAUGCUCGCCGGUGGUUCUCAAUCCUGAAGUUCUUUCUUCUUACUGAGUAUACUGCCAGCUUAAAGUAUACUUUAAGUGUAUUGUGGCUGUGUACUUCAGAACACUGGAUUUGAAUUGAAAUCACGAGGUUAAAGUGCAGACGGUCAGCUUUGAGGCGAUUUUCAGUUUCUGUUCAUUUUGGGGAUAUUUUUGCAUUGGGAAAUUCACUCGGCCAGUCAAGAACGUUCCACUUUUUGGUCCCUUGGGUGUGUUUGGGGUCAUUCCCCUGCUGUAAGUCGAAUGAGUUUUGAAGCAUUUCCUUCUCAGCAGAUGUUGGUUACUUAGUCCACUUGUUUAUCCCACAGUGGGGAAAUUCCUUUGGCUCCAACACACAAUAUAUGAAGGACUUAAAAACAUCAACAGACAGUACACAAUGGGCAGAUGUAUUUGGCUCCAACAUGCAACACAAAAGUCUUUAAAAAAAAACAAACAAAA
Anguilla rostrata (American eel) is the source of this 864-nucleotide long non-coding RNA. RefSeq lists it as uncharacterized. Lineage: Eukaryota; Metazoa; Chordata; Actinopteri; Anguilliformes; Anguillidae. The record is from RefSeq and is a predicted model, not a curated record. The transcript is spliced from 2 exons.